AACCUUAUGGACCUGCGGGCGUAUACCUGCGGAAGGAUCAUUACUGAGUGUAAAAACUCCCAAACCCAUUGUGAACAUACCACUGUUGCUUCGGCGGAUACGCCCCGGGCGCGCUCUUCACAGGGCGUGCCCCGGAACCAGGCGCCCGCCGGGGGACCGAAACUCUUGUUUUCUUAGGAUCUCUGAGUGUGAUUAUUAAAUAAAUCAAAACUUUUAACAACGGAUCUCAGAUCGGAAGAG
RNAcentral lists this unclassified non-coding RNA (240 nucleotides) under soil metagenome. RNAcentral's name for it is "partial contains 5.8S ribosomal RNA, internal transcribed spacer 2, and large subunit ribosomal RNA". The record is from RNAcentral.